GAUGAACGCUGGCGGCGUGCCUAAUACAUGCAAGUCGAGCGAACGGACGAGAAGCUUGCUUCUCUGAUGUUAGCGGCGGACGGGUGAGUAACACGUGGAUAACCUACCUAUAAGACUGGGAUAACUUCGGGAAACCGGAGCUAAUACCGGAUAAUAUUUUGAACCGCAUGGUUCAAAAGUGAAAGACGGUCUUGCUGUCACUUAUAGAUGGAUCCGCGCUGCAUUAGCUAGUUGGUAAGGUAACGGCUUACCAAGGCAACGAUGCAUAGCCGACCUGAGAGGGUGGACCGGCAACACGGAACUGAGACACGGGUCCGGACUCCAAGGGAGGGCGGAGGUGGGAAAUCUUCGGAAAGGGGGGAAGCCUGACGGAGCAACGCCGCGUGAGUGAUGAAGGUCUUCGGAUCGUAAAACUCUGUUAUUAGGGAAGAACAUAUGUGUAAGUAACUGUGCACAUCUUGACGGUACCUAAGCAGAAAGCCACGGCUAACUACGU
RNAcentral lists this ribosomal RNA (496 nucleotides) under uncultured bacterium. RNAcentral's name for it is "partial 16S ribosomal RNA". It matches the Rfam family "Bacterial small subunit ribosomal RNA", at positions 28 to 506 of the family's 1533-position model. The record is from RNAcentral.